UAGUCCACGCCGUAAACGAUGAUAACUCGUUGCUGGUGAUACACAAUCAGUGACUGAGCGAAAGUGAUAAGUAUCCCACCUGGGGAGUACGUUCGCAAGAAUGAAACUCAAAGGAAUUGACGGGGGCCCGCACAAGCGGUGGAGCAUGUGGUUUAAUUCGAUGAUACGCGAGGAACCUUACCAGGGCUUAAAUGUAAGUUGCAUUAGUUAGAGAUAGCUAUUUCUUCGGACUACUUACAAGGUGCUGCAUGGUUGUCGUCAGCUCGUGCCGUGAGGUGUCAGGUUAAGUCCUAUAACGAGCGCAACCCCUACCGUUAGUUGCCAGCAUGUUAUGAUGGGGACUCUAACGGGACUGCCGGUGCAAACCGCGAGGAAGGUGGGGAUGACGUCAAAUCAUCACGGCCCUUACGUCCUGGGCUACACACGUGCUACAAUGGUAUAUACAGAGGGCAGCUACCUAGUGAUAGGAUGCGAAUCUUUAAAGUAUAUCUCAGUUCGGAUC
RNAcentral lists this ribosomal RNA (502 nucleotides) under uncultured bacterium. RNAcentral's name for it is "bacterial SSU rRNA". It matches the Rfam family "Bacterial small subunit ribosomal RNA", at positions 791 to 1299 of the family's 1533-position model. The record is from RNAcentral.